Molecule: small nucleolar RNA, 144 nt
Organism: Mus pahari (shrew mouse)
Lineage: Eukaryota; Metazoa; Chordata; Mammalia; Rodentia; Muridae
Product: small nucleolar RNA SNORA48
Exons: 1
Source: RefSeq, a predicted model, not a curated record
CCCUCCUGGUAAUGGGCAAAGGGACACCUUGUUGGUGGUGGUGUUCUUUUAUCAGUCAGAGGAAGAGCAAAUGGCAGUCCUUUGUUCACCCAGGCUUGAUGCCUUGCUUGAUGGCAAAAGCUGUCCUAUGCAUAGAGCUCAUAG